UCAGAAUGAACGCUGGCGGCAUGCCUAACACAUGCAAGUCGAACGAAACCUUCGGGUUUAGUGGCGCACGGGUGCGUAACGCGUGGGAAUCUGCCCCUUGGUUCGGAAUAACAGUUGGAAACGACUGCUAAUACCGGAUGAUGACGUAAGUCCAAAGAUUUAUCGCCGAGGGAUGAGCCCGCGUAGGAUUAGGUAGUUGGUGUGGUAAAGGCGCACCAAGCCGACGAUCCUUAGCUGGUCUGAGAGGAUGAUCAGCCACACUGGGACUGAGACACGGCCCAGACUCCUACGGGAGGCAGCAGUGGGGAAUAUUGGACAAUGGGCGAAAGCCUGAUCCAGCAAUGCCGCGUGAGUGAUGAAGGCCUUAGGGUUGUAAAGCUCUUUUACCCGGGAUGAUAAUGACAG
RNAcentral lists this ribosomal RNA (405 nucleotides) under Sphingomonas sp. RNAcentral's name for it is "bacterial SSU rRNA". It matches the Rfam family "Bacterial small subunit ribosomal RNA", at positions 24 to 457 of the family's 1533-position model. The record is from RNAcentral. Lineage: Bacteria; Pseudomonadati; Pseudomonadota; Alphaproteobacteria; Sphingomonadales; Sphingomonadaceae.